This 647-nucleotide long non-coding RNA is filed under the name Capsicum annuum. Its description in RNAcentral is "long non-coding RNA (CANN_LNC003240)". Lineage: Eukaryota; Viridiplantae; Streptophyta; Magnoliopsida; Solanales; Solanaceae. The record is from RNAcentral.
GCUAUGACACAAACAACGCUAAGUGGUUAUUUCUUGUCAAGUAUCUUGCAUUACUUAUCACGUAUGGAAACUAACACAUCUGUCUUUGAGUUAUUUUACUUUACAGAUAACAGAAAAUUACUCCGUGUUGAAACAAGAUGGCAGAACAUCCUUACUUCACCCGGUCAAAAGCGCAUAAGAUUCCAUCCCAUAACCAUCAUUCAAUAUGAUUGAAAGUGACGAGGAAAAUGCAUUGACCAUCAGGGAAAAUAUAAUAGCGGAACAAAGCGAGAUAAUUGUUGAACUCGCAAGAAAAUUAGAAAUGCUUUAGAAGGAGAUAAAUCACACUCGAGACUUGGCUAACCUGGCCAUCACUAUCAAUGCUCCCGCUUCAGGAGGGCAUGUGACUCCACUCUAGAUCCACCCCUCAGUACGCCUGUUCUCGGGGACCAUCCAAAUAACAUAUCAUCCAUUUUCGCUCCUCAACUUGUCCAAAACACCAAUCGAGAAAAUAACCCAGAUGCUUACCAUCCACAAAAUUCAUCCCUAACCCUUCAAAAUCCGUUUCCAAAUCCACAAGAUUCAUUCUCGAAUCCCCAAAACCCAUUUUCGAACCCACAAAACCAGCUCCCAAAUUUGCAAAAUCCAUACUCGAAUCCAGAAAAUCC